ACCGGUUCAGGAUUGCUUUCUAUUGAAGUUGUUUCCUCUGCUUGAUCUUGUGAUGUACCUUAGGAGAUUGUUGAUACAGUAGCCUGAAGCAAAGGGAGACAGAGUCGGUAAAUCAGCAUAUCGACAAUUAGUAAUCAGGAUUGUACAUUAGAAAUAACCAAUUCCUCAAUCUUGUUAGCAUGUGUUUUUAUUAAAUGCCCAAAUAGCAACAAU
This 213-nucleotide long non-coding RNA is filed under the name Hordeum vulgare. RNAcentral describes it as "long non-coding RNA (HVUL_LNC006837)". Lineage: Eukaryota; Viridiplantae; Streptophyta; Magnoliopsida; Poales; Poaceae. The record is from RNAcentral.